Molecule: long non-coding RNA, 280 nt
Filed under: Lathyrus oleraceus (garden pea)
Lineage: Eukaryota; Viridiplantae; Streptophyta; Magnoliopsida; Fabales; Fabaceae
Description: Pisum sativum (pea) long non-coding RNA (PSAT_LNC026309)
Source: RNAcentral
UUGGUAAUAAGGUGGUGGUUGUUGUUGUUGGGAAUACUGUGGUGGUUGUUGUUGUUGGAAAUAUGGUUGUUGCAUCCGGGGAUCGUCCAAAUAGAACGGGUCAGACACAAUCAUUUCUGGAUUGGUAUUUGCUCUAUACCAUUCCACAUAUUCCUUGUCGGCUUCAUUUCGUUGGGCGCCACCGGAAAUUGUAGAACAUAGUGGGCACGGUCUUUCCACAUUUUUCGAAACUCCUUAGCAAAUUCCUUCCAAUUUUGGGCAUACCACUGGUGGCUGACUU